This 460-nucleotide ribosomal RNA is filed under the name uncultured Treponema sp. Its description in RNAcentral is "partial 16S ribosomal RNA". It matches the Rfam family "Bacterial small subunit ribosomal RNA", at positions 341 to 792 of the family's 1533-position model. Lineage: Bacteria; Pseudomonadati; Spirochaetota; Spirochaetia; Treponematales; Treponemataceae. The record is from RNAcentral.
ACGGAAGGCAGCAGCUAAGAAUAUUCCGCAAUGGACGAAAGUCUGACGGAGCGACGCCGCGUGGAUGAUGAAGGCCGGAAGGUUGUAAAAUCCUUUUAUAACUGAGGAAUAAGUAAGGUGAGAGAAACGCCUUAUGGUGACUGUAGGUUAUGAAUAAGCAACGGCUAAUUACGUGCCAGCAGCCGCGGUAACACGUAAGUUGCGAGCGUUGUUCGGAAUUAUUGGGCGUAAAGGGCAUGUAGGCGGUUUUGCAAGCUUGGUGUGAAAUCCCGGAGCUUAACUCCGGAAUUGCGUUGAGAACUGUAUAACUAGAGUCACUGAGGGGCAAUCAGAAUUCCUGGUGUAGGGGUGAAAUCUGUAGAUAUCAGGAAGAAUACCAAUGGCGAAGGCAGGUUACCAGCAGAUGACUGACGCUGAGGUGCGAAGGUGCGGGGAGCAAACAGGAUUAGAUACCCUGGUA